CCUACGUGAGGCAGCAGUGAGGAAUAUUGGUCAAUGGACGAGAGUCUGAACCAGCCAAGUAGCGUGAAGGAUGACUGCCCUAUGGGUUGUAAACUUCUUUUAUAUGGGAAUAAAAUGUUCCACGUGUGGGAUUUUGUAUGUACUAUAUGCAUAAGGAUCGGCUCACUCCGUGCCAGCAGCCGCGGUAAUACGGAGGAGCCGAGCGUUAUCCGGAUUUAUUGGGUUUAUAGGGAGCGUAGGUGGAUUGUUAAGGCAGUUGUGAAAGUUUGCGGCUCAACCGUAAAAUUGCAGUUGAAACUGGCAGUCUUGAGUACAGUAGAGGUGGGCGGAAUUCGUGGUGUAGCGGUGAAAUGCUUAGAUAUCACGAAGAACUCCGAUGGCGAAGGCAGUUCACUGGACUGCAACUGACACUGAGGCUCGAAAGUGUGGGUAUCAAACAGGAUUAGAUACCCGUGUAGUC
Molecule: ribosomal RNA, 460 nt
Filed under: uncultured bacterium
Lineage: Bacteria
Description: partial 16S ribosomal RNA
Rfam family: Bacterial small subunit ribosomal RNA
Source: RNAcentral